This 72-nucleotide transfer RNA is filed under the name Deltaproteobacteria bacterium. RNAcentral describes it as "tRNA-Gly". It matches the Rfam family "tRNA". From Rfam's summary of the family: Transfer RNA (tRNA) molecules are approximately 80 nucleotides in length. The record is from RNAcentral. RNAcentral also lists the same sequence under 1 other name. Lineage: Bacteria; Pseudomonadati; Myxococcota; Myxococcia.
GCGGGAGUAACUCAGUGGUAGAGUGCAACCUUGCCAAGGUUGAAGUCGCGAGUUCGACUCUCGUCUCCCGCU